AAAAACUCCGGUGGUAUACGAUGGAUCCGCGUCUGAUUAGCUGGUUGGCGGGGUAACAGCCCACCAAGGCGACGAUCAGUAGCCGGCCUGAGAGGGUGAACGGCCACAUUGGGACUGAGACACGGCCCAAACUCCUACGGGAGGCAGCAGUGGGGAAUAUUGCACAAUGGGGGAAACCCUGAUGCAGCGACGCCGCGUGAGUGAAGAAGUAUUUCGGUAUGUAAAGCUCUAUCAGCAGGGAAGAAAAUGACGGUACCUGACUAAGAAGCCCCGGCUAACUACGUGCCAGCAGCCGCGGUAAUACGUAGGGGGCAAGCGUUAUCCGGAUUUACUGGGUGUAAAGGGAGCGUAGACGGCAGCGCAAGUCUGAAGUGAAAUCCCAUGGCUUAACCAUGGAACUGCUUUGGAAACUGUGCAGCUGGAGUGCAGGAGAGGUAAGCGGAAUUCCUAGUGUAGCGGUGAAAUGCGUAGAUAUUAGGAGGAACACCAGUGGCGAAGGCGGCUUACUGGACUGUAACUGACGUUGAGGCUCGAAAGCGUGGGGAGCAAACAGGAUUAGAUACCCUGGUAGUCCACGCCGUAAACGAUGAUUACUAGGUGUUGGGGGACCAAGGUCCUUCG
RNAcentral lists this ribosomal RNA (621 nucleotides) under uncultured bacterium. Its description in RNAcentral is "bacterial SSU rRNA". It matches the Rfam family "Bacterial small subunit ribosomal RNA", at positions 202 to 842 of the family's 1533-position model. The record is from RNAcentral.